UGGCCCAGCGAUGGCGACUGGGGGUGUGUGAGUCAUGCACAGUGAAUGUCAUGUUCCUGGAACGCUGAGGUUCCA
Small nucleolar RNA from Callithrix jacchus (white-tufted-ear marmoset), 75 nucleotides. Ensembl annotates it as small nucleolar RNA, C/D box 114-11. Its record names the gene SNORD114-11. The record is from Ensembl. NCBI's taxonomy places the organism in Eukaryota, Metazoa, Chordata, Mammalia, Primates, Cebidae.